GCAUUAAGCACUCCGCCUGGGGAGUACGACCGCAAGGUUGAAACUCAAAGGAAUUGACGGGGGCCCGCACAAGCGGUGGAGCAUGUGGUUUAAUUCGAAGCAACGCGAAGAACCUUACCAGGUCUUGACAUCCUUUGACCACUCUAGAGAUAGAGCUUCCCCUUCGGGGGCAAAGUGACAGGUGGUGCAUGGUUGUCGUCAGCUCGUGUCGUGAGAUGUUGGGUUAAGUCCCGCAACGAGCGCAACCCUUAUUGUUAGUUGCCAUCAUUUAGUUGGGCACUCUAGCGAGACUGCCGGUGACAAACCGGAGGAAGGUGGGGAUGACGUCAAAUCAUCAUGCCCCUUAUGACCUGGGCUACACACGUGCUACAAUGGGAAGUACAACGAGUUGCGAAGUCGCGAGGCUAAGCUAAUCUCUUAAAGCUUCUCUCAGUUCGGAUUGUAGGCUGCAACUCGCCUACAUGAAGCCGGAAUCGCUAGUAAUCGCGGAUCAGCACGCCGCGGUGAAUACGUUCCCGGGCCUUGUACACACCGCCCGUCACACCACGAGAGUUUGUAACACCCGAAGUCGGUGAGGUAACCUUUUUGGAGCCAGCCGCCUAAGGUG
RNAcentral lists this ribosomal RNA (607 nucleotides) under Enterococcus sp. DJM22. RNAcentral describes it as "bacterial SSU rRNA". It matches the Rfam family "Bacterial small subunit ribosomal RNA", at positions 857 to 1464 of the family's 1533-position model. Lineage: Bacteria; Bacillati; Bacillota; Bacilli; Lactobacillales; Enterococcaceae. The record is from RNAcentral.